GCAAUCAAAUGCACUCUUGUUCUCAUUUCACACGAAUAUUUCGUUUUGUGUGUUCGAAAAUGUUGGAAAAAAUCAUCUAGAUUUUAGUAUUAGUUUUUUAUUUUCAACAUUUUUGAAAACCACCAAUCCACCAUCAAUUGCUCUACAUUGUAAAUAGCAAGCGUUGAUCUGCACCAUCUCUUCUUGUUUUCUUUUUCAUUUUUACUCUUUGACUUAGAAACGUGUACAGUACGGGGUUGAUCACAUUUUCGUGCUGGAAAUGCGCUGAAUUUGUGACCAACUGCGACCUAAUUUGCGUGUACAAAUGCCCAUCCGCCCCCUCAACUCUAAAAUGCAUUGCUGGUGUUGUUGUUACUACGAGAUCCCCAAAUUUAAACAGAAUGCUGGAAAUACGCUGUUUUCCCAUCCACUCAUUGUUGACCCGAUUUGUUGUUGAUCUGAAGAGUUUUUUAUUCUUUGCAUUGACAUCAAUUUCUGUUAUUUUUUUUGUAUUUAUCAUCUUUUUAUCAUCUUCUUUGCCUACUCCCGAAUCCCCUGUAACAUCAUCACCACAUACUUUUUUCUAAGAUCUGACAAUCAUUCACAUUAGAUUUUCAGCAGUUUUCAAGAUUUUUCUAGUUGCCACUGCUGAAAAUUUUUCUUGCAACCACGUUGCACCCUUUUUCCACAUACUCCCCACCCUCUAAGACCUGUAAAACACGUGUACAAAAUCAGAGAUAAUGUCGAGUUUCCCAGUGACUAGUUGAGCUCUUUUGAUUCUCAGAUCCUGAAAUUCCUGAAAAAGUUUUCAAUUCUGAAAGUCGAGAGCUCUCCGAGCACUGCUCCCUAUCGGUGUACAUACCCGCCUUUUAGUCGGAAAAUUGUUGAUUUGUGAAAAGAGUACUGUAGGAGAUUUUUCUCUCGGCAGUUCUCCUUUUAUUACCUUCCAUCCAUCCCGAGGAUCGUUUGCAAAGCGUGUUUGACAUCCAGUCUCCCAACUUUUUCUCUGAUUCUCCUCCAUUUGUUGUACAUUUUGCUUUUAGUUUCUAACGCCUAAUUCCAACAUCGGCCCCCAGUUUCUUUUCGUUUAGUAGAAUUGACGGCUAAACUUUGGUUUACCAUUCAGAAGUCACCUUUAAAAUCAUGGUUUUGUCUGUCAUAUUAGGCCCUCUAGGCUCAGAAUACUCAGAAUAAGAUUAGGAAAAAACCCCAAAAAAAUGAAGUAGUUUUUGUAGUUUGUCUUCAUCACGGUUUGGAAUAGCCAAACCCAUCCCAAACCAGUCUUGCAAAACAUCUAGCUUGACUUAACUCCCGAGAACCCCACAGAAAGAAGCCCGUGUACCCCCAACCGUCCCACUCAAUUGUUGUACGAUCUCUUGUGCUGAAAAUGUCGAAAAUGUUGGUGAAAGCUAACUUUUUUCGAUUUUUCCGGUUUGUCACAAAAAUCCUUCCCCGCCUAUCUCGUUGCUGGAGAAUACACACACACGGGCCUGGUUUUGGUUUCCUUCUUCUCCCAAAUUUCCCAACAAAAUUUUUCUUAAUUAACGGAAUCCCGAAAUCACUUUAAUUUUUAUAUGGAGUUCACGCUCUAUCUCUUCUCGAUACCAUUUUCCCCCACGUUCUUCCUGUCCUUUCUUCUUCAUAACUUAUUUUCUUUGUCUCCCACUUUCUCUCUUGUAGUAAAUUAAUAUCCCUUUCUUCUGUUCUGCUCUGAAAUUCUAAUGUUAUAUUUAUUUUUUAUAGAAAUGCUUCACGAAGUUCGGAAAGAAUGAUAAUGGUUUCGAAUGGAGAAUAAACUGUGAAUAAUAUAUU
RNAcentral lists this small RNA (1791 nucleotides) under Caenorhabditis elegans. Its description in RNAcentral is "Unclassified non-coding RNA R166.6". Lineage: Eukaryota; Metazoa; Nematoda; Chromadorea; Rhabditida; Rhabditidae. The record is from RNAcentral.